Molecule: long non-coding RNA, 1805 nt
Filed under: Parus major (Great Tit)
Lineage: Eukaryota; Metazoa; Chordata; Aves; Passeriformes; Paridae
Description: lncRNA (ENSPMJG00000006460.1)
Source: RNAcentral
AUGGGGGGAUGUCCAAACUGCAAAUCCUGGGAUUCAGGCUGUGACAAGUGUUUGGUGGGUGCUGUGCCAGGUGAACACGUGGGUACAGGGUACAGGGUACAGGGUACAGGGUACAGGUACAGGGUACAGGUACAGGGUACAGGUACAGGGUCACACUGGCAGCUCUGGGACCCUCAUGUUUUGGAGCAGUUGAGGAAGAGCUGGGAGCUCCCAGCAGCUGGUGGAGAGGAGCCCAGGGUCAGCAGUGCCCACUGUGGUCCCUCUGUGCAGGACUGGCACCCAGCACUGCCAGCCCCUGCUGUGCCAGCCCCUGCUGUGCCAGCCGAGCAGAGAGCUGACAUUUCCUCAGGCAGGGCUGACAAAAAGGGCUUUUCCACAUCCCCCAAAGUCCAGUAGGAUCCACAUGUGUCCCUGGUUGAAAUCCCUGAGCUCCAACACCAGCUCUUUCCACUCGUGGCCCACAGAAAUGAAUGUCCCAGGUUUCCAGCCUGUUUGUCCAGGAGCUGUUUUUUCAUGCUGUUAGGAGUUACCCCAAGAAGAAAGAUUUGAGGUAGUCUGAGUUCAGCCAAACCCUAGCCAAAGGGUUAAAUCUUGGGAUUUAAAUGCAUCAAAAAAUAAUGUUUUCAUUGUAGUGUGAGUCAUCAGUAAUUCUAUAGUGUUUGUGUUCUUUUUAUUGUGACCUUUCAUCUCUGAAUUCUUUUUUGUUUCCCUUUCUUUUUCUUUAUUUCUCUGUAUCUUUCCUUCCCUCCUUCCUUGCUUGCUUGCUUCCUUAUCUUUUUAUUUCUCUCUCUCCCUGUGUAUCUUUCCUUUCUUUUUCCUUCUGUUUCUUCUGAAUGUGUGCCUCUGUAAAAUCUGUCCAAAUAUUUACAAAAGGAAAUGCUGGGUUGUGAAACUGAAUUCAGAGAAAAUGUUACACAUGCUGAAGAAAUGCAUCCAGCACGGUUUCCAAAUGUUCCCACAUGCAUUUUUGUCCUGUGUCUCAAGUGUUGGGGCUUGAUACUUCAUAUCUUUAUUCAGGCAAAACUUGCACAGAAAGGGCAGCGAGAUCCAGGCUGGGGUCUGUUCCAGUGGUGCUGUAAUUCUGGAGUGGUUCCAUUUGAUUUUGGCCAUGGGUGACUGGUUAAAAAGCCUGAAUAACCAGUGUGACUGGGUAACUGGUUUGUGCAAUGGGCCCGUUCCAGGCCAGGGGUUAUCGUCACUUGUCACCGAGCUGGGACACGCUGGCAUCGCUGUCAGGCACUGCAGAACAUCUCUGCAGCUCUGUCAUCUCCAAAAACCAUCAGCCCAGGCUGCACUGCGAGACCCCCGGUCCCUGGAGGAGCCAGGACAGGUCUCAGGUCCUGCUGGGACCAAAAAAACCCACACUCAGCUGUGUCAUGAUGAAAGUGCCAUGAAGUCAUUUUCCCAAGAAGUCCUUCAUGCUCACACUCAUGUCCUCAUGUCCUCAUGUCCUCGGACAUGUUUUGGCAGAGAGCAGGGAACUGUUUAAGCCCCAGGGAUAAAGGGAAUCGGCAGUGGGUCCCAUCUGCUCUCAGAAAAGCGUCACCUCCCACCCCCACACUCCAUGCUCAUGUUUCUAUUCUUACCCUCACAAAGGCAUCCAGUGCAAACAGGGCUUGUUUUGGAGGAAGGGGUUAAUUUUGUAUUUCCUGGCUUUUGUUAGGGCAGGAAAACGAGCCCUUCAUUCAAGCAGUGAGCUUUUAAAAGCCACUUCAGGCCUGUGUUGUAUUCUGCUUUCUUGCAUUCUUACUGCAGGUUUAUUUAAGAAAAGAAAACAAAAAUAAAGCGAGGAAAUAGCCAGCCCA